UGGUCGCAGGAGUGCUGUAAUAAGCAGAGAUUGUUUAACUCGAGCAGAUAUGGGACUAAGCUGCUGUAAAACCUCUGUCUCUUGCCCUCAGUGCACAGAGAGAUGCGGAGAGGACUGCCUGUGCCGCUGUCACAAACACGAGCCCUGCGUGGACCGCUGCUGUAACCUGUGUUUUCAGUUCUGUCUGGACUGCUGCUGCGUGAUGUGUUCGGACGACUGUCGCUAUACUGUGUGCUUCAUGUGCACACGGAUGGCCCACUCCUGCGCUGCUGUCCUGAGUGGCGAGCAGCCCACGUCUACACAGACAUGAGACGGUUUUCAUUUGGAAGGAAGACUGGAUUGGAUCACCCCAAGGAUGCGUUUUAUCUCCUUUAGUUUUUAUCUUAUACACUAACUCUUGUUCAAGUUCCUUUAAGAAUAGAUAAAUUAUUAAAUAUGCAGAUGAUACUGCGCUAGUGAGUCUUUUAUAUGAUGGAGAGGAAGAGCAUGGGCCUGUUUUGGACUUCUUUUUAAAUUGGUGUGAAAAAUCAAAUCUUCCAUUGAAUACUUCAGCUACAAAAGAGAUGGUUAUUGAUUUUAGAGAGAAAAAAUCAUUUUACCCUACAUCAAUUAAUGGGGAGCCAAUACAAACAGUUACAAACUAUAAAUACCUUGGUAUGGUAUUGGAUUAUAAUAUUAAAUGGGUUGUGUGGACGGAGCAAUUAAGUAAAAAGAUUCAACAAAGAAUGUAUUUCUUAAAGAAAUUACUCUCCUUCAAUGUCCACAAUGGAAUGUUACAGAUUUUUUAUGGUGCUUUUAUUGAGAGUGUUAUAACAUUUGGUUUAAUUUGCUGGUAUGGCAAUGCUUCAGAGGCACAGAAGAAAAUACUAAGGAAAGAGAGGUGAUUUUGGCAGGUAAAUGGUUAGGGAUUUCUUUACCGAGUAUAGAAAGUAUAUAUAAAGAUAGAGUGUUGAAUAAAGCUAACAAUAUUGUGAAAGAUAAGAGACAUCCUAUAGCCUUUGCCUUUGAAUUGUUGCCAUCCGGUCGACUGUACAGUGUCCCACGGUGUAUGAAAAACAGGUCCAAAUUUUCUUUUAUCCCUCAAGCAAUUCAUUUUUUAAUUCUAUUUCUUCUGAUAUUAAUUGAUUAAGCCAGCUGGUCUGGACUAAUCUUAUUUAUCAAAUUAGUUUAUUGAAUUAUGUAUUGAUUUUUGUAUGCCAAUUGUGACUCUUAUUGUGUCUGUGUGAGCUCGCUGCAACCUUACUUUCCCUUAAGGGGAUAAAUAAACUUAACUAACUAUACUGGUUUGUACUUGUACACUGAAUAUACUGUGAUUACUGUGAAGUGUAACAUUCUGUAAACUGAGAAAAUGUAAUCUGUAAAAUCUGUCUUGAUGAUAAAGUGAAAAUGCUUGCAUAGCAUUAUAGGUGAACAGACGUCAUUCCAAAAUGACAAGUACAAGCAGGAAAAACUUGAUUCGCACACCCUGUCAGGGUAUUUAUAUUUUCGAGUCCGCCCGGGCGUGUGUCGUACCAGCCCUGUAAACCUCAUGACAAACAGGUACAUUUGAAUGUGAACUCAUUUGAAAGGACUUUUAUAACAAAAGUGAAAAGAAGCUGCCAGCGUAUACACAAGAUUGUGCGAGAAGAGAGGAUUGUAGUUUGUGUUCUCUGUUCUCUUUUACGGUACGUGACAGAGUUGUGAUUGAGGAUUUUAAUUUCUUCUCAUUCAAUUCAAAGAGAAAACUGUGAAGGACUGAGGAAAAGAAGGUUGAAAGAAAAAAGGAGAAAUCUGAGGGCACUCUGACAGAAAAGGUCUGAUCUGAAGACUGGGCCAUGGAGGAGGAUUACAGGAAACAGUUGCCGGACUAUCCUGACAUUAUUACGCAGCAGCACACCAGCAACACCAAGCAGAGCUACUCGGCUGAUAAGAAGCAGGGAGGAGGUGGCUGCAUGCGAUGCUGCGGGAGUACCAAGAGAUGUCUGAUGAGUCCUGAGUGCGGCCGGUGUCUUAACAUCGCCAGCGUGGUUGCCAUGUGCGGCAUGUGUAUCCGAAUGUUCGUGUAGCACAGUCUCCUGCAGACCAUCUCCUCCGUUUAUGGAGAAAGAGACCAAGACAUUAUUUAGCUCUGUUCCAAAGCAGUGAACUGCCUCCUUAAACAACAUUUAUGUAUAUUCUUACAAACAAGUAAGUCCUCAGUAGAUGUUCAUAGAUAAUGUAAUCCCAGAAUGCAUUAGGACCAAACGUUUUAUUCAAUAUGGCAGAUGACAUGAGGUACUAAAUGUGACCCUGGACAACAAGAAGAUGUCUUAAGGGUCUAUUUUUCAAAAUUGAGAUGUUUACAUGAUCUGAAAACCAAAUAAAUAAGUUUUCCAUUGAUGUUUGGUUUGUUAGGAUCGGGCAAUAUUUUGCAGAGAUUUAAAACUAUUUAAGACUAUUUAAAAUUCUGAGGGUGAAAAUUGCCUUUAAAGUUGUCCAUCAGAGACGUUGGUAAGAACGUCUUUAUUGUCAUACCGCUGUAAUGACGUUGUGGAGACUAGAUGAACCCAAAAGCGUAAAUUUUAAGCUUUACAUAGAUACCAAACUUGAGUGGGUAUUUCCCAAAGAGCGGAUAGCAGCAAGUGAAGUUUGUAGGUGUGUUUCUGACCAGUUUUGCAAUUUUGCUGCAUCCACUCACAAAAAUAACAUUUUGAUAUAUUUACAGUAGGAAAUUUACUAAAUAUCUUCAUGAAACAUGAUCUUAAUAUCCUAAUGAUUUUUGGCAUAAAAGAAAAAUCUAUCAUUUUGACUGACACAAUGUAUUUUUGGCUAUUACUACAAAUGUUCACGUCCUACUUAAGACUGGUUUUGUGGUCCAGGGUCGCAUAUAUGGACAACAAAUAGAGAGAGAGAGAGGCAUGUGUAGACUGUAAAAAACUCAGUAAAAAAAUGACGUUUUUUGGCAGCUGGGCGCCGUUUUUCUCACAUACAAAUUACAUGUUUUUCAUGUUUACAUGUGAAUUUGUGUUCUUUUUCUGUAAUUUGACGGUUACUUCGAAAAUAUAUGUAAAAUAUGUCAAAGAAAUUCCAUAAAAUUACAGUCUUUUACAUUAUGUGUGGAAAAAUCUGUAAGAAAUAACAGUAAAUUUCUGUAAAAAUAUUUUUUUUAUAGUACACUUGGCUUUUGAUCUGGGCUAUUGUCACGACCUUAUACCAGUACAAUGUAGAAAAAUUUCCCUUAUUGUCUUUGUUAAUACUAAGAAAACAGUGUUUACUAGUCAUUCUGAUCAUUUUUUUGGUUGUUGUUGUUGUUAAAAUGAACUUUGAAUUGAAUUAAAUGACUCUAAAUAAAUCAAUUUGAAAUGCUUUUGCUAACAUUUAAUAAAUAAAGUACAGUAAUUGGAUGUAAUGUAUCUUAGCAAUUAUGAUCAUUAUACUAAAAUUAUCAUAUUAUUAAAAAAAAUGUUGUAUUCUAAUAAUAAUAUUCUAUGUGAAAUGUAAUAUAUUAAAAUGUAAGUAUUGUUAAUGUAGAAAUAAUAAAGUGACAAAAAUAAAAAGCUUUAUUUUGU
Triplophysa rosa is the source of this 3527-nucleotide long non-coding RNA. RefSeq lists it as uncharacterized. The transcript has 4 exons. NCBI's taxonomy places the organism in Eukaryota, Metazoa, Chordata, Actinopteri, Cypriniformes, Nemacheilidae. The record is from RefSeq and is a predicted model, not a curated record.